RNAcentral lists this ribosomal RNA (456 nucleotides) under uncultured Synergistaceae bacterium. Its description in RNAcentral is "bacterial SSU rRNA". It matches the Rfam family "Bacterial small subunit ribosomal RNA", at positions 927 to 1382 of the family's 1533-position model. The record is from RNAcentral. Lineage: Bacteria; Thermotogati; Synergistota; Synergistia; Synergistales; Synergistaceae.
AAGCGGUGGAGCAUGUGGUUUAAUUCGUAUGAUACGCGAGGAACCUUACCUGGGCUCAAAUGUAUGUUGACGUAUUCUGAAAGGGAUACUUUCUUCGGACAAUAUACAAGGUGCUGCAUGGUUGUCGUCAGCUCGUGCCGUGAGGUGUCGGGUUAAGUCCCAUAACGAGCGCAACCCCUGCAUUCAGUUGCCAUCGGGUGAAGCCGGGCACUCUGGAAGGACUGCCAUCGACAAGAUGGAGGAAGGUGGGGACGACGUCAAGUCAUCAUGGCCCUUAUGUCCAGGGCGACACACGUGCUACAAUGGCCGGCACAACGGGAAGCGAGUUCGCGAGGACGAGCGGAUCCCUUAAAGCCGGUCGCAGUUCGGAUUGAAGUCUGCAACUCGACUUCAUGAAGCUGGAAUCGCUAGUAAUCGCAGAUCAGCCAAGCUGCGGUGAAUACGUUCCCGGGCCUU